Molecule: ribosomal RNA, 433 nt
Filed under: uncultured bacterium
Lineage: Bacteria
Description: partial 16S ribosomal RNA
Rfam family: Bacterial small subunit ribosomal RNA
Source: RNAcentral
AACGAACGCUGGCGGCAUGCCUAACACAUGCAAGUCGAACGAGACCUUCGGGUCUAGUGGCGCACGGGUGCGUAACGCGUGGGAACCUGCCCUUAGGUUCGGAAUAACUCCCCGAAAGGGGUCCUAAUACCGGAUAAUUUCUUCGGACCAAAGAUUUAUCGCCUUUGGAUGGGCCCGCGUUGGAUUAGCUAGUUGGUAGGGUAAAAGCCUACCAAGGCGACGAUCCAUAGCUGGUCUGAGAGGAUGAUCAGCCACACUGGGACUGAGACACGGCCCAGACUCGUACGGGAGGCAGCAGUGGGGAAUAUUGGACAAUGGGCGAAAGCCUGAUCCAGCAAUGCCGCGUGAGUGAUGAAGGCCUUAGGGUUGUAAAGCUCUUUUACCCGGGAUGAUAAUGACAGUACCGGGAGAAUAAGCUCCGGCUAACUCCGUG